CCGAGCCCGGGUCGGUAUCGGACGGUCUCGCCUCGCGCGGUGCUCACCAUGGUAACAGACAGGGCCGUGAAGGCAGACACCGGCCCGCACGCUGUGAACAUAUAUAUAUUUUUAAAAUUAAUAAACACAGCCCGCUAUGGCUGCAUCGACCCCCACACACACACAACCAUAAAUUAUUUAUGGACAUUGAGUGUGGAGUAAGGAGGAGGGGAGGACUCCGGUUACUUUUUAAAAUUUCUUGUCAAAGGGUGGCAGUUUCAAACGGCAAGUUUAAAAUUCCUCUCCUUGACGUGGGCGGAGGGGAAAAAAGAAGCAGAAAUCUGAAAAACUCGUCAAAAUUCAGAGAGGAGCGGGGCAGUGAAAAUCCCGCACAGGGAUGAGGCAUUGUCAACUUCUUUGAGACGUGCUGGAAGCCCAGCAGAUGCUAUCAUGCAGUCACGGUGAAUUAAAAAUGAAAAGGCUAGUAAACGAUGACUCAGCAUUUCAGCUCUCAGUAUGACCAUGGCGUGAAGGGGCAGAAACUGAAGAAAUAAAGUGUGGGCACUCUAGACAAUAAUUCAGCAAAGCUCUCGGCUGAUGACCCUCACCAUGUCGCUGAUGCCCGGCUUGGUGCGCAGGAGCAGGUUCUCCGCUCUGGGCUUGCUGUCCGCUAUGG
Long non-coding RNA from Lepisosteus oculatus (spotted gar), 655 nucleotides. RefSeq lists it as uncharacterized. NCBI's taxonomy places the organism in Eukaryota, Metazoa, Chordata, Actinopteri, Semionotiformes, Lepisosteidae. The record is from RefSeq and is a predicted model, not a curated record.